Long non-coding RNA from Vespa mandarinia (Asian giant hornet), 5586 nucleotides. Lineage: Eukaryota; Metazoa; Arthropoda; Insecta; Hymenoptera; Vespidae. The record is from RefSeq and is a predicted model, not a curated record.
UUUGAUUCUUCCACUCUUCUACUAACCAAAAUAAAAAUUUGUUAACAAAGAUGUACGUUCAACUUAAUAUAAGUUCUGGCUGAAAAGAAAACCAUUGUUAUCAAUUAAUUAGUAAAGUUGAUGACGUAAAAUAUUAUUAAAAUUAAAAUCAUUGAAUGCAAUUUUGAAAUAUUAUAUUAAAAUGAAGAACAGAUCAACACGUCAUAAAUGGAAAGAUACAUUUCAGGUUAUAUUAUAUUAUUAAUAAUCUUGCAAAAGGGAAGAAAACGACGAGGAAGUGGAAAUGUAUUUUUAUGAAGCAACACAAAAAUGGAAUCUCAUGAAAUUAACAUAUGACUAUUGUAGUUCUAAAAUAUAAAUGAGAAAAAUUAUUAUACUUUCGUAAUCGCUCGAUAAGGAACAAUUAAUCAUCGAACGUUCCUAAAAUAUAUAUAGUUAAAAAUUAAAGAAGACUACAAAUUAUCCAGGAAAACUCGGAAUUAUCAGCAAAUGAAAAUAAGCUUAUCUCUAAAAACAAUGAAAAAGAAAAUGAAGAUGGUAAUGACGAUAAUGAAAACGUGAUGAUAAAAAUAAUACUUUAGUUGACCAAGACAAUGAAGAAAGAAUGGAAUGAUAUAAAAUUAAAUAAUGAAAAUAUUGUAUAUAUUUAGAAGAUAAAGAUGAAACGACAGAUGCACAUUUGUUUGACAUAUGAAGACAUAUUGAAUUUUCGUAUAUUUAUUCAUAUAUUAUUUUCAUAAUCUAGACCAAACUAUAAUUCGAUAGAUACGCAACAUUGGAGAAUUAUGGUUAUGCUAAUCUGAUUGCUACUUUCAAGAUUUUAACUUGGAUUGUAAUCGAGCGAUUACAAAUAGAUUUUCAUUCAUAAAAUUCAUAAAAUUAGUAAAUAUAUUUGUCAAAAAUUUAAUUUUCUUCGCAUAGAUCUCGAAAUAAGUCAAAAGUCAUAUUGUUUACUCAGAUAACGAUUAUUGAUUAUAUAAAAAGAGUAAUACUUUACCUCUUACUUCACUGAUGAAAUGAUAAAGAAAAACUGUAGCUAUAGAAAUAAUUGAGGCACUUAAUUUGUUCUCAUUGGUAUCAUUCUAUUUAAUAUUAAUUAGAAUCCCUAUUCUAAGUAUACAAGUUUAUUAUGUUCUGAGAAAUACAAUAUUCAAAUGGGCCACUGAUAUUAAUGGGAUAUAAAUGGGAAAAUUAAAUGAAAUACUUUUUAAUGUAAAGUCUCAUUUGAUACAAGAAACGUUCACGAUUAUAGAAUCAUCUACUUUUGGAAAAAUUGACAAAGGAGGUAACUUCUGUGACAAAGAAAUAAAUGCGUAAGGAAGAAAAUACGAAAUUCUAUAGUAAAAGACAACAAAACUACAACAAGAGAUAUAUAAGCUGCAUGUAAAGUGUCGUAAUUAGUUCUACAAAUUUGUGGGACAAUUGAAAUUAGCAGUAAAGGAAGAAACCUUAAAUUAUACAACGAAGGAAGAAAGUAAACAAGAAGAAAAACGUGAGUAGUGAAUAAGAAAGAGAAUCUCAAUAGGAAAAGUAAAAAAUAAUAGAGUAGUCUAUAAGAAAGAGAAUGUCAAAAGAAAGAUCGACUUUGAAAUUCUCUAAUUAGGCGUUUUAUGUACAUAUCCAUGUAAAAAAAGUGUACUUCCUUGAGUUAGAUUUGCCGCGUUUCUCAUGUCCCGUUCUUCGAUUGACUUUUGUUAUGUACAAGUCGAGCCGUUAAAAUUUUGAAGAAAAACGAGCAUUAGGAAAUAGGACCUAUGUACGAGAGAUUACAGAGAAAUUUUAUAAAGAUAAUAUAUUAAAUAAAAUUUAAGUAGGGUAAAUAAUAAACGUAAAUUGUCGUUUCUCUGUUCAUAGGUAAGACUGUAAAUAGCAAAUAAUUGUUAAUUAACGAAUAAAGAUUUAUUCCUUUGUUCACAGAGAAACAUAUUUUUGUUUAUCACCUCAUCCAAAAUAAUAAAACAUAUUAUAAAACGACAAUUUUUGGUUUAUAAUGACAAGAAAACUACAAUUCGUAUUUAAAUGUGUGGCAUCACCGAGCGGUAGAAAGACAAAUGUGAUCGCCAUAACCUCUAUCACAACUGAGGACAAAAAAAAAUGUGUUGCUAGAAAAUGAAAAAUUUGUAAGUAACCACAGCGGACUAACAAAAACAGAAAGUUAUAACAGAAGGAAAAAAGCCUCAAUCAAAGAGGCCAAGAAAGAAGAAUAUGGAUUAAGUGCACACAGGAAAUGUACAGUACGUAUUUUGAUGAAGAUGACAAUAUAAUGUUUAAUGAUCUAUAUCUAGAAGAGAUAGUGAAAACAAACACAGUAGAACCCACACAGUAGAAAGAAUACCAAAUAGAUUUAAAGUGUAUAUCAGAAAAAUUCAUGAUUAAAAAAUUUGUAUGUAAACACUCAAAUGCAGACAAGGGAUGGAGUACAUGUAUAUACGCUAUAUCCUACAGAUAUAAAGAAGGUUCACUAAUGGAAUACGUUAUGAGGAAAGUAAAACUAUUACUGGAUAUGGACAACGAUAUCAGCACAAAGAAUCUGAUGAUGCUUAUAGCAGCAGGAUUACCAGAAUUCAUAAGAGAUAAAAUAGAUAGAGAAAAUUGUCAAAGCUCAACAGAAUUAUUACAAGAAAUAAAAAAAUUUGAAAAUCUAGUAAGUAAAAACAGUUUUACAAAAAAGAAAGAGGAAAGGCAAGAUAAUAAGAAGAAAUUCGAAGAAAAGAAACCAUGUAAGAAUUGUGAAAAACUAAACAAAGAUAUUAGAUAUCAUUCAGAGGACUCCUGUUGGUUCAAAAAAGAAAAUAGAAAGGAAAUCAGGAUUAAUGGAAGAAAUUCGAUGAUAGAAGUGGACCUAAGCAAGGAACAAAAAAACAAAUAACCAUACCAUUGAUCAAAGUAAAGAUAGUAUUAGAAGAGAAGUUAAAGGUCAACGGAAGAUAUGACACAGGUUCCCAUGUCUCUCUAAUAAAUUUGAGACUAGUCAAAAUAAAAAAAAAGAGACAGAAGAUAAAAAUAAAAUAUUUUUAAAGAUGGUCAAUGGUGUGACAGAAACAAAAGGUUUAGUAACCAUUAAAGUAAAAAUUUUGGAUAAAAAGGAAUACGUUGAUGUAUUUAUUAUAUAAAGACUUCGAAGAUUUCAUUAUUAGGUUAGAUAUGAUAAAGAAAUUCAAACUAACUCAGGAUGAAAACUUACAGAUAUCUCAAAAGAAAAAAAAACAAAUAAAAAAAGAAUAUAAAUACAUUGAAUAGAAAUGAAGAAAUAAAAGAAGUUGAAGUAAAUUUUAACGAACAGGUGAAUGAAGAUGAAUUUAGAUUGGAUCUGAAUCACUUGGACAAUACAAGAAAAAAGGAUAAAAAACUUAUAGAAAAGUAUAAUUUCAUAUUCGCAAAAAAUAAAUAUGAUGUAGGCACCGUUUCGGACUACGAAGCUCGAAUAGGCUUACUGGUUGAUAAAUAUUGCAGUAAGAGGCCAUAUAGAUGCACUAUAGAGGAUAAAAAGGAGAUAGAAAAUCAGGUGGCAAAACUAUUAGAAAAUAAAUUAAUUGAAGAAUCUAUAGUCCGUUUGCAGCACCAAUAACUCUAACAUUCAAAAGAGAUGAAAACAAACGAUCACGAUUGUUAUAGAUUUCCGCAAAUUGAACAAGAUAGUUACACCACAAGCUCAACCAUUCUCAUUAAUAGAAGAUUUAAUAAACUAAAAACAAGAAACUGUAAAUACUUCACCUCACUAGAUAUAAAUUCCGCUUUCCGAUCAAUUCCAUUACAUAUUGAAGCUAAACAGAAAACAGGAUUCGUUACACAAAGUGGACACUUCCAUUGGACAUGUCUACCGUUCAGACUAAAAACAUCACCAGCUAUUUUCCAAAGAAUAUUAUUCAAUAUUUUAAGAAAGGACAAAUAAAAGACUUUUCAGAGAAUUACAUAGAGGACAUCUUCAUUUUUUCAGAAUCAUUCGAAGAACAUAUAGAACACAUAGAAAGAGUAACAAAAGCAAUAGUAAAUGAAGGUUUCAGACUAAAAUUUGAAAAAUGUACAUUUGUAACAGAAUCAGUGGAAUAUCUCGGACAUAUAAUAGAGCACAAUACAGUAAGACCAGUGAAAGAUAAUCUAAUCUCAAUACAAAAUUUUCCCCACUUCAAAAACCCAUAAAAAUAUUAGACAGUUUCUCGGAAAAAUAAACUUCUGUCAUGAAUAUAUACCGAAAAGCUCAAUACUGCUAGACCCAUUACAUAAACUAUCAAGAAAAAAAUGAGAAGUUUAUAUCGUCUGAAGAGUGUGAAAAAUCUUUUACAAAUAUAAAAAAAUUAUUAUGUUCUCAACCAGUGUUGCAAAUAUUCGAUAAGAAUUUACCUAUAAAAAUUUACACGGAUGCAUCAAUAGAAGGCAUUGGUGCAAUAUUUAAAUAGAUACAAAGUGAUGGUAAAGAAAAGCCAGUAGCGUACUUUUCAAAAAAAUUGAAUGAUUCGCAAAAAGGAAAAAAAAGCAAUUUACUUAGAAUGCCUGGCAAUCAAGGAAGCGGUAAUGUAUUGGCAAUAUUGGCUGAUCGGAAGAAAGUUCACGAUAUUUACAGAUCAUAAACCAUUAGAAGGUAUAUGAACAUAAAAGCUAGAACAGAUGAAGAACUUCGGGAGUUAAUGUACUAUUUGUCACAAUAUGAUUUUCAAAUUAAAUAUAUUCCGGGAAAGAUGACGCUGAAGCAGAUAAUUUAAGUAGAAAUCCAGUACUGGAAUCAUCCGAAAAUACAGAAAAAAUGCUAAAAGUAGUUAAUCUAAUAAAAUUAAAGGAGAUAAAAACAGAUCAAAAAGAUUAUUACAAACAUCAAGAACGCUAAAAAAUUUUUAACUACAGAUAUUGGUCCAGUGAAAAAAGUAAAGAAAUUCAAAUACGUGGGAGAAAUAAUUCAAGAAAAUGAUGUAGAAAAAUCUGCAUUAGAAGAAAGGUUACGCAAGAUGGAAAUAGCAUAUGGUAUCACUAAGAAUUUUUACAACAAAAAGUGUUUAUCUAAAAAUCUUAAAAUAAGUCACUACGCUACAGUAGUGAAAGCGGAAUGCUUAUACGCGAAUGAAUGCUUGGCACUAAAUUAUAGAUUAGAUAAACUAGAAGUAUUAGAAAGGAGAAUCAUGAGGAAAAUUUUAGGUCCAGUGAAAACAACAAAAGUAUGGAAAUUAAUAUCUAAUGAUGAAAUAUACAGGAACAUAGAAGGCAUAACAGAAAAGAUAAAGGAAAAGAAGACUGCAAUUUUUUGGCCAUAUUUACAGAAUGGAUGAGUCCAGAUUAACAAAAAGGAUACUCAUAUACCUUUGGGAGAAAAAGGCAACAACUGGCUGGAUUCAAGAGGUAAAAAGAGAUCUAGAAAGAAAUAAUAUAAGUGAGGAAGAAACUAUAGACAGAGAGAUUUUUAGAAAGAGGGUAUUAAACAUGGAAGGAUUCCAAGGAAGAUUGAAGAAGAAAUCUGUACGAAGUGGUCUGAGGACAGAAAGAAACAGCAUAGUGAAAAGAUGAAGGAAUAUUGGAGGGAACGGAAAAGAAAACAGCUAAGUGUGAAGAACUGAAAUUGGCACAUGGUCCCUAGCAGGCCUCAUCGAAAGAAGAAGA